GCCAUGCCGCGUGGUGUGAAGAAGGCCUUCGGGUUGUAAAGCACUUUCAGUUGUGAGGAAAAGUUAGUAGUUAAUACCUGCUAGCCGUGACGUUAACAACAGAAGAAGCACCGGCUAACUCCGUGCCAGCAGCCGCGGUAAUACGGAGGGUGCGAGCGUUAAUCGGAAUUACUGGGCGUAAAGCGCACGCAGGCGGUUUGUUAAGCUAGAUGUGAAAGCCCCGGGCUCAACCUGGGACGGUCAUUUAGAACUGGCAGACUAGAGUCUUGGAGAGGGGAGUGGAAUUCCAGGUGUAGCGGUGAAAUGCGUAGAUAUCUGGAGGAACAUCAGUGGCGAAGGCGACUCCCUGGCCAAAGACUGACGCCCAUGUGCGAAAGUGUGGGUAGCGAACAGGAUUAGAUACCCUGGUAGUCCACACCGUAAACGCUGUCUACUAGCUGUUUGUGGCUUUAAGCCGUGAGUAGCGAAGCUAACGCGAUAAGUAGACCGCCUGGGGAGUACGGCCGCAAGGUUAAAACUCAAAUGAAUUGACGGGGGCCCGCACAAGCGGUGGAGCAUGUGGUUUAAUUCGAUGCAACGCGAAGAACCUUACCUACACUUGACAUGUUGAGAAGUUACCAGAGAUGGUUUCGUGCCUUCAGGAACUCAAACACAGGUGCUGCAUGGCUGUCGUCAGCUCGUGUCGUGAGAUGUUGGGUUAAGUCCCGCAACGAGCGCAACCCUUGUCCUUAGUUGCCAGCAUUUAGUUGGGCACUCUAAGGAGACUGCCGGUGACAAACCGGAGGAAGGUGGGGA
This 795-nucleotide ribosomal RNA is filed under the name uncultured Alteromonadaceae bacterium. Its description in RNAcentral is "bacterial SSU rRNA". It matches the Rfam family "Bacterial small subunit ribosomal RNA", at positions 391 to 1179 of the family's 1533-position model. The record is from RNAcentral. Lineage: Bacteria; Pseudomonadati; Pseudomonadota; Gammaproteobacteria; Alteromonadales; Alteromonadaceae.